Panicum virgatum (switchgrass) is the source of this 552-nucleotide long non-coding RNA. RefSeq lists it as uncharacterized. NCBI's taxonomy places the organism in Eukaryota, Viridiplantae, Streptophyta, Magnoliopsida, Poales, Poaceae. The transcript has 2 exons. The record is from RefSeq and is a predicted model, not a curated record.
AAGCAGCACAUACUGCAGCCCAGGCUGGCACAUCGAGAUGUCGACACCUACCCAUCACGGCUCGGUCAGAGCCACCUCUACCUCGUCGCCUAGGCACCCGUCUCUUCCAAGCAGCCCACAAUAGGAAUAGGGGUUAGCAACAGACCAAACGUGAAGAUCCCAAUAUCUAGCCCCCGCGCCGGGGGGUGGGGGUGUGUUAAAACAGUUGCCCCCUGCGGACAAUCAUAGAUCUUAUGAGGCAGUUGUGCUUAGCUUGUAACAUGAAAAAGCAACUAUAUCGUGUUGUAAGCUUGCUUAACUUGAAAGAUGUUCUUAGCGAUGAUUUAACUUGAGAGAUGUUCUUAGCGUUGAGCUUGGGAGAUGUUCUUAGCAUUGAUUUAUCAUUCCAACUGUAUCGUGUUGUAAGUUUGCUUAACUUGAGAGAUGUUCUUAGCGUUGAUUUAUCAUUCUAAUAUGGUAUUGUUUGCCCAAUUUGUAAAAAGUCCGCUGGCAGAGGCCCUGGUCCUGCCUGCUCUUCCUCUUGUUCAAAAGGUGCGCGCGCCAGUCUUUGCA